GAGGAGGUCAGGGAUACAUUUCUGCUUAUGCAGUUUUCUCAAUUUCCUUCAUCUGAAAACACUCAGUAUGCCAAGGUGCCAUGAUUUGCGAUAGCGUUUCCUGCAUCCUAUCAGGUAGAAGAAAAAAAAUAUUUUUCCUUCAGUGACUUUUUUUUGGUAAAUAAUAACCUUUUAUUAUGUAAAAUUUAUUAUUAUGUAAAGAAAACAUUUUCUGAAGUUAUAGUUAAAAAUAUGAUCAUCACCUGAAAGUCAUUUGGACAGAUGCAUUUAAGUUGACAAAUCUUUUUGGCGUAUACUUUAUUACUUUCUACUUUUACAGCAUUAUGGUCACCAACUGUGGCCUGGAUUAUUUUUUGAAUUUUGCAUUUAUGAGGUUUUCUUUUUCAUUUACUAUAUAGUUGAUUUUUGUAAAUGCUACCUGAUGGCUUAAAAAGUGACAUAUUAUCUGCUUUUAGUGAAUGUAUCUUUUUGUGUUUGUGUAGAAUAUUGUGUCUAUUUCUAGGCAACACAAAUAUAUGUUGUAGAAUAACAUCUGAUUUUGGCAAUAUAAUCUUUCUCUUUCUGUAAAAAUAUGUGACACUUUACCCCAAAUUCUUGCCUGGUAUAAAAACAUAUUUGUUAGAUAAAGGAUAUUUGAAAAUCUCAUUGAGAGACACGAAGGCUACUUGGGUUGUGGGGAGGUAUGUCAUCCCCUCUGCAAAUUAUGAGUACUUUUGGAUCAUCUGUAGGUGGGGCGGGAGUCUUUCAAAGGAGAGGGGAUGUGUGCUAUAGUGAGGAGACACCGUUUCUCAAAUUCCAUGUGAAUCUCUGGCCUUCAGGGGCAUUUGAUAUGUGAACAUGGCUAAAGGAUCUCAAGAAGAGAAAUUCGCUUCAUUGUUAAAGUUAUGGGCUCAGCUGUCAGGGUCAUACUCUGCACAGAGCAGGAGGAGAGCUCCUAGGCACUCCUGCCUGCCAGCAGGGACAGCUGCUGGUGCUGCAAAAUGGGUCCUUAGAAGAUGGACCUGGAAGAGAAGGCAAGUAGACUUUUUAGCAGGAGUCUGCUGGGAGACGGGAGUGCCAUUCUCUCUGGUAUAAAAGAAUCUUCAUAGCUGGGUGUGGUGACUCACGCUUGUAAUCCCUAGCACUUUGAGAGGCCGAGGCGAGUGGAUCACUAGGUCAGGAGUUUGAGACUAGCCUCGCCAAUAUGGUGAAACCCCAUUCUCUACUAAAAAUACAAAAAUUAGCCAGGCAUGGUGGCAGGUGCCUGUAGUCCCAGCUACUCGGGAGGCUGAGGCAGGAGAAUCGCUUAGACUCGGGAGGUAGAGGUUGCAGUGACCUGAGAUCAUGCCACUGCACUCCAGCCUGGGUGACAGAGUGAGACUCUGUGUCAAAAAAAAAAAAAAAAAAAAAAA
This 1391-nucleotide long non-coding RNA is filed under the name Macaca fascicularis (crab-eating macaque). RNAcentral's name for it is "lncRNA (ENSMFAG00000056095.1)". Lineage: Eukaryota; Metazoa; Chordata; Mammalia; Primates; Cercopithecidae. The record is from RNAcentral.